CCCCUACGGGAGGCAGCAGUAGGGAAUAUUCCACAAUGAGCGAAAGCUUGAUGGAGCGACACAGCGUGCACGAUGAAGGCCCUCGGGUUGUAAAGUGCUGUUGCAAGGGAAGAACAGUUAGUUGAGGAAAUGCUUCUAAUCUGACGGUACCUUGUUAGAAAGCGAUGGCUAACUAUGUGCCAGCAGCCGCGGUAAUGGGG
Molecule: ribosomal RNA, 200 nt
Filed under: uncultured bacterium
Lineage: Bacteria
Description: partial 16S ribosomal RNA
Rfam family: Bacterial small subunit ribosomal RNA
Source: RNAcentral